CCUACGGGGGGCUGCAGUGGGGAAUCUUGCGCAAUGGGCGAAAGCCUGACGCAGCAACGCCGCGUGAGCGAAGAAGGUCUUCGGAUUGUAAAGCUCUUUCAGUUGGGACGAAGCUUCUACGGUGAAUAGCCGUAUGGAGUGACGGUACCUUUAGAAGAAGCCCCGGCUAACUACGUGCCAGCAGCCGCGGUAAUACGUAGGGGGCGAGCGUUGUCCGGAAUCAUUGGGCGUAAAGAGCGUGUAGGCGGCUCAGUCAGUCUGGUGUGAAAACUUGAGGCUCAACCUCAAGCUGUCACUGGAUACUGCUGGGCUAGAGUCCGGAAGAGGAGAUUGGAAUUCCUGGUGUAGCGGUGGAAUGCGCAGAUAUCAGGAGGAACACCUAUGGCGAAGGCAGAUCUCUGGUACGGUACUGACGCUGAGACGCGAAAGCAUGGGGAGCGAACAGGAUUAGAUACCCUAGUAGUC
Molecule: ribosomal RNA, 465 nt
Filed under: uncultured bacterium
Lineage: Bacteria
Description: bacterial SSU rRNA
Rfam family: Bacterial small subunit ribosomal RNA
Source: RNAcentral